Molecule: long non-coding RNA, 413 nt
Organism: Trematomus bernacchii (emerald rockcod)
Lineage: Eukaryota; Metazoa; Chordata; Actinopteri; Perciformes; Nototheniidae
Exons: 3
Source: RefSeq, a predicted model, not a curated record
ACAUGAUCACGGCUCAGCCUUUAGCUGACUCUGAAGCGAGCCAGAGAUCCACCUCAUCCUUCCAACAGAUUCACAGAAGAACACAACACUUCACUUCAACAAAGCUUCCUCAAAGUGCUCCAAUGGAAUGCAAGCUGGGAAGAUGAAAGCAAGUGGACAGGUGACGAAGUGAAGGCUACUGAGCGGCAUUUGUAUCCUUAACAAGCUGCAGAGUACCAGGUAAAAAGGACUGUGACUCCUGUCUCAAGGCAGAGCCAGUUGCUCUGAAAGACAGGGACUGGGUUGCCAUCAAAUAUUACAUUCACAACAGAAUCAUGGCAUUAAAAAGGAAGAUGAAUACAUAGGACUAGAACAUGCCAACUUGGUCUGAGGUACAAUUUUACUUUAAAAUAAUAGUUGUUUCUUCAUUCCCU